RNAcentral lists this ribosomal RNA (394 nucleotides) under uncultured bacterium. RNAcentral's name for it is "bacterial SSU rRNA". It matches the Rfam family "Bacterial small subunit ribosomal RNA", at positions 521 to 916 of the family's 1533-position model. The record is from RNAcentral.
UAAGACGGAGGGGGCUAGCGUUGUUCGGAAUGACUGGGCGUAAAGGGCGCGUAGGCGGUUUUUUAAGUUGGGCGUGAAAGCCCCGGGCUUAACCUGGGAACUGCGCUUGAUACUGGAAGACUAGAGGACGAGAGAGGAAAGUGGAAUUCCGAGUGUAGAGGUGAAAUUCGUAGAUAUUCGGAGGAACAUCAGAGGCGAAGGCGGCUUUCUGGCUCGUAUCUGACGCUGAGGCGCGAAAGCGUGGGGAGCAAACAGGAUUAGAUACCCUGGUAGUCCACGCUGUAAACGAUGAGUGCUAGACGUUGGGGGGUUACCCUUCAGUGUCGCAGCUAACGCAUUAAGCACUCCGCCUGGGGAGUACGGUCGCAAGAUUAAAACUCAAAUGAAUUGACGG